This 492-nucleotide ribosomal RNA is filed under the name uncultured bacterium. Its description in RNAcentral is "partial 16S ribosomal RNA". It matches the Rfam family "Bacterial small subunit ribosomal RNA", at positions 29 to 507 of the family's 1533-position model. The record is from RNAcentral.
AGUGAACGCUGGCGGUAGGCCUAACACAUGCCAGUCGAACGGCAGCACAGUAAGAGCUUGCUCUUACGGGUGGCGAGUGGCGGACGGGUGAGGAAUACAUCGGCAUCUACUUUUUCGUGGGGGAUAACGUAGGGAAACUUACGCUAAUACCGCAUACUACCUACGGGUGAAAGCAGGGGAUCUUCGGACCUUGCGCGAUUGAAUGAGCCGAUGUCGGAUUAGCUAGUUGGCGGGGUAAAGGCCCACCAAGGCGACGAUCCGUAGCUGGUCUGAGAGGAUGAUCAGCCACACUGGAACUGAGACACGGUCCAGACUCCUACGGGAGGCAGCAGUGGGGAAUAUUGGACAAUGGGCGCAAGCCUGAUCCAGCCAUACCGCGUGGGUGAAGAAGGCCUUCGGGUUGUAAAGCCCUUUUGUUGGGAAAGAAAAGCAGCAGGUUAAUACCCCGCUGUUCUGACGGUACCCAAAGAAUAAGCACCGGCUAACUUCGUG